RNAcentral lists this long non-coding RNA (1588 nucleotides) under Nicotiana tabacum (common tobacco). RNAcentral's name for it is "long non-coding RNA (NTAB_LNC003137)". Lineage: Eukaryota; Viridiplantae; Streptophyta; Magnoliopsida; Solanales; Solanaceae. The record is from RNAcentral.
AUACUUUCGGAGUGUUUUAGAGAAAAUAUUGAAGAAAAGCAGUUCCGCAACCAGGUUUGUUUUUAUUUCCUAUCGAUUUGUUUUUUUCAGGGUCAUUGCAUCGAUAUUUUUGUUUACCUUUUUCGUGGCUUUUACUCUUCCUCUUCCAGUAAGGUUAUCCAUUUGUUGUAUACCUUUUAAGUUUAAAAGAUUGAGCUUUCAGGUUGCUUACAUUUCCCAUGCAUGACAACUAAUUUGUAUAGAGGAUUCAUGACAAUCAUGAAUUAGCAGGUGCUUCAGCAUGUUUAUGGAAUUCUAUUACACUGCCAAAACGUAAGCAAAUGUUUCUGAACGCUCAAAAUUAAUUUAGAAAAUAGUUCUUUUGAAAGAAAAUGGAAGAUAUUUCUUUUAGUACUUUUUUUGUUUUGUUCUUUUAGCACAAAACAUGCUGUAAACAGAAAUUAUCUUUUUCCUUAUCGCAACAAUGAUAUUUCCUUGGUAGAGACCAUUCUCAUGGCAAUGUAGCAUGUAUCAACUGGAACACAUUUCUCAAUCCAUAGCCAGUAGAAAUAGACAAAGGAGUGUGGAAAUGGUAAUUCAAGCGUUCAUCUAAGGUAUUGGUACUUCUUUUAAAAGAAAAUCUAUAUAUUAAGCUCAUAAUAUAUAGGAGUAUAAUUUUUCUCGGGGUAGCUUAUAGCCUAUUGUUCACUUUUAAGACUUUCCUUCAAGACCUCUAACUUUAGACUGUGAACAUCGUCAAAUCUUAGCCUUCUUGGGUUCAAAUUUUCGAGCUAAUGUAAUUUUUUAAAUAUAUAUGCCAACACAAUUUAAGUUUUAUUUUCAUCCUUUUUGAUUUACACUGAAGUAGUUAUGUCUAUAUAUAUCUUGAGACUGAAUACAAAAGACACUAAGAAAUUCUUGAGACAUUGCAAAACAGAAUGACUUAAUCGUUCAAUGGCUUGACUAUAUCCUUUCGUAGAGUGGAAAAGGUGAAUUUACUCUUUUUCAUCAAAUGAAUUGUUCCUAAGGCAAAACCAAGUGAAGUUACUUUCAAUAUGAUGUUUGAAAACAUUGAUGAGAAGUAUAUUUUUUGGCAUUUGAAUGUGUUUGUCAGUUGCCUUUUUUUACUUCAUAUUUGUUAUGAACUUGCUGAUGUGCUCAAAUAUUCCAUCCAUCAUUUUUGUUAUUAUUUAUUCUAUUGGAUUAGCUUAAGAGAUAAGUUUAUUUUUAUGAUACUUCCAGUUUUUUUUUUUGCUUGAAAAUGUGACGUUAUCUUCUUUGAGAAAUUACUUUCACAUCACAAUAGUGAGCUGUGAGCAGUAUCCCUUUAUUGGGAUGGAGAAGGGAAAAGGCCAGUGCAAUACCCUGCUUCCUAUUGAGGCUUUGACUGCACAAUUACACUCUGUAGUGGAAAGGAGGCAAAUAUUAUUCAAACUUAAACCUUUGUAGUGGAAGGAAAAUAGUAACUUUGUACAACUGCUGCUCUGGAUAGUUUAUCCUUUUGUACGAGUGAUGAACUAAAAACAUUCUGUUAUCUUUCAACUAUACACUUUUUUGUGUAUAAACUAUCAUGGCAAUGUAGCUAUAUCUUUUUUUAGUUGAAUGUAGU